This 206-nucleotide ribosomal RNA is filed under the name uncultured Flexibacter sp. RNAcentral's name for it is "partial 23S ribosomal RNA". It matches the Rfam family "Bacterial large subunit ribosomal RNA", at positions 1786 to 1989 of the family's 2925-position model. Lineage: Bacteria; Pseudomonadati; Bacteroidota; Cytophagia; Cytophagales; Flexibacteraceae. The record is from RNAcentral.
AAAGACCCAAGCGACUGUUUAACAAAAACACAUGGCUUUGCUAACGCGUAAGCGGACGUAUAAGGCCUGACACCUGCCCGGUGCUGGAAGGUUAAGAGGGGAGCUUAGUCGCAAGGCGAAGGCUUGAAUCGAAGCCCCAGUAAACGGCGGCCGUAACUAUAACGGUCCUAAGGUAGCGAAAUUCCUUGUCGGGUAAGUUCCGACCU